UACAGAGGUCCCAAGCGUUGUUCGGAUUCACUGGGCGUAAAGGGUGCGUAGGUGGUGGGGUAAGUCUGAUGUGAAAUCUCCGAGCUCAACUCGGAAAUGGCAUUGGAAACUACCUCGCUUGAGGAGUGGAGGGGGGACUGGAAUUCUCGGUGUAGCAGUGAAAUGCGUAGAUAUCGAGAGGAACACCAGUGGCGAAGGCGAGUCCCUGGACAACUCCUGACACUAAGGCACGAAAGCUAGGGGAGCAAACAGG
RNAcentral lists this ribosomal RNA (253 nucleotides) under uncultured bacterium. RNAcentral's name for it is "partial 16S ribosomal RNA". It matches the Rfam family "Bacterial small subunit ribosomal RNA", at positions 524 to 776 of the family's 1533-position model. The record is from RNAcentral.